RNAcentral lists this ribosomal RNA (381 nucleotides) under uncultured bacterium. RNAcentral's name for it is "bacterial SSU rRNA". It matches the Rfam family "Bacterial small subunit ribosomal RNA", at positions 30 to 408 of the family's 1533-position model. The record is from RNAcentral.
AUUGAACGCUGGCGGCAUGCCUUACACAUGCAAGUCGAACGGCAGCACGGGAGCAAUCCUGGUGGCGAGUGGCGAACGGGUGAGUAAUAUAUCGGAACGUGCCCAGUCGUGGGGGAUAACGUAGCGAAAGCUACGCUAAUACCGCAUACGAUCUAUGGAUGAAAGCGGGGGAUCGCAAGACCUCGCGCGAUUGGAGCGGCCGAUAUCAGAUUAGGUAGUUGGUGAGGUAAAGGCUCACCAAGCCGACGAUCUGUAGCUGGUCUGAGAGGACGACCAGCCACACUGGGACUGAGACACGGCCCACGACUCCCUACGGGAGGCAGCAGUGGGGAAUUUUGGACAAUGGGCGCAAGACCUGAUCCAGCAAUGCCGCGUGCAGGA